Molecule: ribosomal RNA, 169 nt
Filed under: Boophis reticulatus
Lineage: Eukaryota; Metazoa; Chordata; Amphibia; Anura; Mantellidae
Description: partial 16S ribosomal RNA
Rfam family: Archaeal large subunit ribosomal RNA
Source: RNAcentral
UCCUGACCGUGUGAAGGUAGCAUAAUCACUUGUUCUUUAAAUGGGGACUAGUAUCAACGGCAUCACGAGGGUCCCACUGUCUCCCCCCUCCAAUCAGUGAAACUGAUCUCCCCGUGAAGAAGCGGGGAUAAGUAUAUUAGACGAGAAGACCCCAUGGAGCUUUAAACCC